UAAACUUUAGUUAAAAAAUAACAUUAAAUUGUCAAUUUAAAGAUAUUAAUAUAAAUAAUAAGUUUUA
Molecule: transfer RNA, 67 nt
Filed under: Opius kraussi
Lineage: Eukaryota; Metazoa; Arthropoda; Insecta; Hymenoptera; Braconidae
Description: tRNA-Asp
Source: RNAcentral